Long non-coding RNA from Neofelis nebulosa (Clouded leopard), 837 nucleotides. RefSeq lists it as uncharacterized. The transcript is spliced from 4 exons. The record is from RefSeq and is a predicted model, not a curated record. NCBI's taxonomy places the organism in Eukaryota, Metazoa, Chordata, Mammalia, Carnivora, Felidae.
GACAGAGAGAGACAGAGCAUGAAUGGGGGAGGGGCAGAGAGAGAGGGAGACACAGAAUCGGAAGCAGGCUCCAGGCUCUGAGCCAUCAGCCCAGAGCCCGACGCGGGGCUCGAACUCACAGAUCGUGAGAUCGUGACCUGAGCUGAAGUUGGACGCUUAACCGACUGAGCCACCCAGGCGCCCCUGUGGUUCUUCUGAUCAGUAUCCUCCUGUCUUUCCACCUGCAUGGAACCUACUGUAAUAUUUAACCUGAACCUGCCUUUCUUACAAGUGUUCUGGUGUCAGGAAUUGUGACUGCCAUUCGGGAAGCCUGUUACUGGUCAUCUUGGCUGGAAUUUGAAAUGAUGUAAUUGUAAAACACAGGCACAGCUCAAUGAGAUUGGAAGUUAUGGAGGAAAAUGGAAUGAAUGCCAUAUCUUAUCACCUUUUUUGCCUUAAAUAUUAAAAUUUUACUUCAAACUUCAUAUCAGUUUUUCUUCAAUUCAUUUUUAUCAUCUAAUAUUAACGAAGCAUGUAAGGACAACUACAUAGAAACAAUAUAAAACCUGUAUCAAUAAGAAGUGAUAAUGAACAGGUUAAUGCAAAUGAUGAAUUCCUAAAUUAUGUUAACAAUAAGCUGUUUAUUAUAAUAGCUGAGAUUAGUAAUAUAGACCGGUAAUAAGGAUUUCUGAAGCAUUGUUUUUGGAACUAACAUUACAUAUUAGAAUUCUGGAAAUAGGCUAACAGAAAAUAGGCUAGCAGCCAUCAUUCAUUUUAUAUAUUUUUAAGAGUUCUGGCAAGUGAUCGUUCCAUAAAGUAAUCAUUCAAUAAAUAUAUCACCAUAUACACUAUUUUUUC